RNAcentral lists this ribosomal RNA (465 nucleotides) under uncultured bacterium. RNAcentral describes it as "partial 16S ribosomal RNA". It matches the Rfam family "Bacterial small subunit ribosomal RNA", at positions 28 to 506 of the family's 1533-position model. The record is from RNAcentral.
GAUGAACGCUGGCGGCGUGCUUAACACAUGCAAGUCGAACGAUGAAGCCCAGCUUGCUGGGUGGCUUAGUGGCGAACGGGUGAGUAACUCGUGAGUAACCUGCCCUUAAUUCUGGGAUAAGCCUGGGAAACUGGGUCUAAUCCCCGACAGGAGCGUACACCGCACGGUGGGUGUUGGAAAGAUUUAUCGGUUUUGGUUGGUCUCGCGGCCGUUCCCCUUGUUGGUCAGGUAUAGGCCACCCCAGGCGACGACGGGUAGUCGGCCGGGGAGUGUGAUCGGCUACACUGGGAGUGGGAUUGGGACCAUGCGCCUACGGGUGGCAGCGGUGGUGAAAAUUCCACAAUGGGGGCAGGCCUUAUGAAGCGUAGCGGCGUGAGGAAAGACGCCCUUCGGGUUGUAAACCUCUUUCCGUAGGGAAGAGGCGAAAGUGACGGUACCUGCAGAAGAAGCACCGGCUAACAACUU